RNAcentral lists this ribosomal RNA (253 nucleotides) under uncultured bacterium. RNAcentral describes it as "partial 16S ribosomal RNA". It matches the Rfam family "Bacterial small subunit ribosomal RNA", at positions 524 to 776 of the family's 1533-position model. The record is from RNAcentral.
UACGUAGGGGGCGAGCGUUGUCCGGAAUCACUGGGCGUAAAGGGCGCGUAGGCGGCUCAUGAAGGCUGUGGUGGAAGUCCGGGGCUCAACCUCGGAUCGGCCGUGGCGACUCGUGGGCUGGAGCACUGUAGAGGCGGGUGGAAUUCCGGGUGUAGCGGUGGAAUGCGUAGAGAUCCGGAAGAACACCAGUGGCGAAGGCGGCCCGCUGGGCAGUGGCUGACGCUGAGGCGCGACAGCGUGGGGAGCAAACAGG